AAUAGAUACCCGGGUAGUCCACGCCGUAAACGAUGAGUGCUAAGUGUUAGAGGGUUUCCGCCCUUUAGUGCUGAAGUUAACGCAUUAAGCACUCCGCCUGGGGAGUACGGCCGCAAGGCUGAAACUCAAAGGAAUUGACGGGGGCCCGCACAAGCGGUGGAGCAUGUGGUUUAAUUCGAAGCAACGCGAAGAACCUUACCAGGUCUUGACAUCCUCUGACAACCCUAGAGAUAGGGCUUCUCCUUCGGGAGCAGAGUGACAGGUGGUGCAUGGUUGUCGUCAGCUCGUGUCGUGAGAUGUUGGGUUAAGUCCCGCAACGAGCGCAACCCUUGAUCUUAGUUGCCAUCAUUUAGUUGGGCACUCUAAGGUGACUGCCGGUGACAAACCGGAGGAAGGUGGGGAUGACGUCAAAUCAUCAUGCCCCUUAUGACCUGGGCUACACACGUGCUACAAUGGACGGUACAAAGAGCUGCAAGACCGCGAGGUGGAGCUAAUCUCAUAAAACCCGUUCUCAGUUCGGA
RNAcentral lists this ribosomal RNA (521 nucleotides) under uncultured bacterium. RNAcentral describes it as "bacterial SSU rRNA". It matches the Rfam family "Bacterial small subunit ribosomal RNA", at positions 777 to 1297 of the family's 1533-position model. The record is from RNAcentral.